GAUGAACGCUGGCGGCGUGCUUAACACAUGCAAGUCGAACGGAAAGGCCCAAGCUUGCUUGGGUACUCGAGUGGCGAACGGGUGAGUAACACGUGGGUGAUCUGCCCUGCACUUCGGGAUAAGCCUGGGAAACUGGGUCUAAUACCGGAUAGGACCACAUUUUGGAUGGUGUGGUGGAAAGUUUUUCGGUGUGGGAUGAGCUCGCGGCCUAUCAGCUUGUUGGUGGGGUAAUGGCCUACCAAGGCGUCGACGGGUAGCCGGCCUGAGAGGGUGUACGGCCACAUUGGGACUGAGAUACGGCCCAGACUCCUACGGGAGGCAGAAGUGGGGAAUAUUGCACAAUGGGCGCAAGCCUGAUGCAGCGACGCCGCGUGGGGGAUGACGGCCUUCGGGUUGUAAACUCCUUUCGCUAGGGACGAAGCGCAAGUGACGGUACCUGGAGAAGAAGCACCGGCUAACUACGUG
This 465-nucleotide ribosomal RNA is filed under the name uncultured bacterium. Its description in RNAcentral is "partial 16S ribosomal RNA". It matches the Rfam family "Bacterial small subunit ribosomal RNA", at positions 28 to 507 of the family's 1533-position model. The record is from RNAcentral.